Long non-coding RNA from Electrophorus electricus (electric eel), 150 nucleotides. RefSeq lists it as uncharacterized. The record is from RefSeq and is a predicted model, not a curated record. Lineage: Eukaryota; Metazoa; Chordata; Actinopteri; Gymnotiformes; Gymnotidae.
CUGUCUCUGCACUUGUUGUAACCAUAACUGGCAUCUCCAUAUGGAUAAUGAAAAGAAAAUGCAGAAUAGAGCAGAAUGCAACACACCUGAAGACAGAAAUGAAUGUCACCCCAAGCCAGGCUGACUCACAAAGAAAAUGUGAAGAUUCCC